This 80-nucleotide transfer RNA is filed under the name Emiliania huxleyi. It matches the Rfam family "tRNA". From Rfam's summary of the family: Transfer RNA (tRNA) molecules are approximately 80 nucleotides in length. Their secondary structure includes four short double-helical elements and three loops (D, anti-codon, and T loops). Lineage: Eukaryota; Haptophyta; Isochrysidales; Noelaerhabdaceae. The record is from RNAcentral.
GGGGUAUGGUGGAAUGGUAGACACAACAGACUUAAAAUCUGUCGGCAAAUUGUCGUGCGAGUUCAAGUCUCGCUACCCCC